UAGGGAAUCUUCCACAAUGGGCGCAAGCCUGAUGGAGCAACACCGCGCGAGUGAAGAAGGGUUUCGGCUCGUAAAGCUCUGUUGUUAAAGAAGAACACGUAUGAGAGUAACUGUUCAUACGUUGACGGUAUUUAACCAGAAAGUCACGGCUAACUACGUGCUAG
This 164-nucleotide ribosomal RNA is filed under the name uncultured bacterium. RNAcentral's name for it is "partial 16S rRNA". It matches the Rfam family "Bacterial small subunit ribosomal RNA", at positions 355 to 511 of the family's 1533-position model. The record is from RNAcentral.